AAUCAACGCUGGCGGCGUGCCUAACACAUGCAAGUCGAACGCGAAAGUCCCGCAAGGGAUUAGUAGAGUGGCAAACGGGUGAGUAACACGUGGGUGACCUGCCUUCGAGCGGGGGAUAACGUCCCGAAAGGGACGCUAAUACCGCAUAACAUCCUGCCUUUUAAGAGGUGGAGAUCAAAGCCGGGGAUUCGCAAGAACCUGGCACUUGAAGAGGGGCCCGCGCCUGAUUAGCUAGUUGGGGGGUAAUGGCCUACCAAGGCAACGAUCAGUAUCCGGCCUGAGAGGGCGGACGGACACACUGGGACUGAGACACGGGCCCAGACUCCUACGGGAGGCAGCAGUGGGGAAUUGUUCGCAAUGGGCGCAAGCCUGACGACGCAACGCCGCGUGGAGGAUGAAGA
This 401-nucleotide ribosomal RNA is filed under the name uncultured bacterium. RNAcentral's name for it is "bacterial SSU rRNA". It matches the Rfam family "Bacterial small subunit ribosomal RNA", at positions 29 to 414 of the family's 1533-position model. The record is from RNAcentral.